This is a long non-coding RNA of Mus musculus (house mouse), 813 nucleotides long. RefSeq annotates it as predicted gene, 38802. The transcript has 3 exons. The record is from RefSeq and is a predicted model, not a curated record. Lineage: Eukaryota; Metazoa; Chordata; Mammalia; Rodentia; Muridae.
CAGGAUGCACAGGCUCUGACAACCCACAGACACACCCAGCAUGUUGCAUGUUCUACAACAUGAGCAUACUUCAGUGGCAAAGUGGCAGAGCUGAAGUUGACAUUGGCCUGCAUGCCCAGAAAUGUGCGAGGGCCUGACCGUGUGCAUCAGCAGAGCUGUCUAAGGUGAGGCCAGCCUUGCCUUCCUCAAAUGAUGGCUACUUGGUUAUUCCAUGAUACUUAUUUAUUUAGAUACAAUGCUGAAUAUGGCUUUUGUUUAUGUUUUAAUUUUAUUUAUGUUUUUAAAAUAAUCUAUGUUUAAUAAGUGAGAUUGGCCUCUUGUCUUGUUUUCUCUUAUAAUCUGACAUUUUUCACAGCAUCUUUAAUUAGUCUCACAAAGAGAGUUGCAGUAAGUACCCCUGCUUUUAAAAAAUUCCCUGGAAUAGUUUGUGUAAAAGUUCUCUUUCCUGAAACUUUUGGUAUACAUAACACAAUCUGUGCCUUGAGCGUGGUUUAAAUGCCAUUAAACUUCUAACAACAAAUAAUUUUAUUAUAUUUUAAUGUCCUCAAUAGUUAUCCAUAAGUUUUUAUUAUUUUGAUUUGAAAAAUAAUGCUAAUAUCAUACUCUUUGUUGUUGUUGUUUUUUGUUUCUUUUUGUUUUUUGAUAAUUCCCAAUUCCUGUCUGUAAUGUAUCCUGAGAAACUUCGGAGGAAUGACCUUCCUGAUUCCGCUGUGCAGCUUUCAGGACUGCCUAUGACCCCCAAACAAAGUCUGAACCCCAGCCCCACUCUUAGGACGACACCUGGCUUGUACAACCACUAUGGAAAUCAGUCUG